UCAAUAUUUUCAUUGAAACCUUAAUACACAAAGCUGCUAUUAGGAAGAGAAACGUAGAGUGAAAGAAAGGUUACAAUGGCGACAGAGAGAACAGUAACUUCAAACCCUAGCAAUGGAGAACGACCAAAGGUAGUGGUCAUAACGGGCCCCACCGCUUCCGGGAAGUCGAAGCUUGCCGUUGAUUUGGCCUCUCACUUCCCUCUCGAAGUCAUCAACGCCGAUUCCAUGCAGGUCUACCGUGGCCUCGAUGUUCUCACCAACAAACUCCCUCUCUCUCACCAAAACGGAGUGCCGCAUCAUCUCUUGGGCACUGUAAGCCCCAAUGUGGAAUUCACAGCUAAGGCGUUUCGCGAUUCCGCGAUUCCCAUCAUUGAUGAUAUAUUGGCUCGUAACCACUUGCCUGUUAUAGUUGGGGGCACAAAUUACUAUAUCCAGGCUCUUGUGAGUCAGUUUCUUCUAGAUGAUUCUGCAGAAGAUAUGGAUGAAAGCUGUUUGGGUGAUCCACCUAGCGUCACGCAGUCUGAUAACAAUUUCAUUGGUGAAAUUGAUGGUUCAAACAAUAGUUAUGACCUGCUUGAAGAUGAUAACAAUUUCAUUGGUGAAAUUGAUGGUUCAAACAAUAGUUAUGGCCUGCUUAAAGAUAUUGAUCCGGUUGCAGCAAAUAGAAUCCAUCCAAAUAACCACAGAAAGAUAAAUCAAUAUAUUAGUUUGUACACUCGCACUGGUGUUCUUCCUAGCAAAAUUUUUCAAGGAAAGGCAGCAGAGAAGUGGGGUCAAGUUGAUAACUUAAGAUAUGAUUGUUGUUUUAUAUGUGUGGAUGCUUGUCUACCUGUACUGGACAAAUAUGUAGAGCAGAGAGUAGAUUGCAUGAUGGACGAUGGAUUACUCAAUGAGGUCUACGACAUUUAUAAUUUGAAUGCAGAUUAUAGUAGAGGUUUGCGGCAGGCCAUUGGUGUCCGUGAAUUUCAGCUUCUUCUUAGAAUUUGUGCUGUCAAAGACAUCUGUGAAAAAGAGAGGGAAUUGAUUGAAGGAUCAGUCUUAGAAAAGGGUGAGAAAUUGUGUAAUGGUAAUUUGAUGGAGGUGGUGAGAUCUUCCUCUAAUACUGAAUCCACAAUUCUUUUGGAAGAAGCAAUUGAAAAAGUAAAGCUUAAUACCCGGAGACUUGUUCGCCGUCAGGUAAAAAUAAUAAGAGGAUGGUCAGUAGACUGCAAACAUUGUUUGGUUGGAACAUACAUUAUGUUGAUUCCACGGAAUCAAUAUCAAGCAAGUCAGAAGAUGUUUGGACUGGCCAAGUGGUUGAAUCUGCUGUGAAGAUAGUUAAAUCUUUCCUGAGUGACAACGGAAGCUCGCCAUCCACCUUUGGGACAUCAAAUGAUACUGGGAUGAAAAUAACCCAAAGGGACCUCUGGACUCAAUACACAUGCAAGGCAUGCGGAGAUCGGGUGCUUAGAGGAUUACAUGAAUGGGAACAACACAAACGAGGUCGUGGGCACCGAAAACGUAUUUCUAGUCUCAAGAGCAAGGCACGUAAUACUACUGGUUUCGUGAAAGAGAAGAUGGAGUAUUCCGAGUGUGAACACUGAGACUUGUGAAAUGAAAUAUAUGUGUGUGGAAAUUAAAACCAAGAUUUUAAAUUAUUUGCGGAUUUUUGUUGUUGUUGAUAUUAUCAUCUUUUUCCACGGAUUAGAUUAUUACAUCAUUAAACCAGAUUUAGUGCAUUUAAAAUCAAAUUUAUUAGAAGAUAAGGAAAAUGUUUACAAUUUUUUUUACACUACCAUGUAAUUACAAGUUAUUUUUGUUGAUUUUUAUAAUAAUUAGGGAACAUUGUAUUGAUCCCUCCUAAAGUGUGCUUAAAUGACACAAACUACUACUAUAAUUUCUGAAAAAACAAAGGUCUCUCCUAA
Cajanus cajan (pigeon pea) is the source of this 1904-nucleotide RNA transcript. It is a transcript of the gene named tRNAisopentenyltransferase 2, with no coding region annotated. NCBI's taxonomy places the organism in Eukaryota, Viridiplantae, Streptophyta, Magnoliopsida, Fabales, Fabaceae. The record is from RefSeq and is a predicted model, not a curated record.